ACGCUGGCGGCGUGCUUACACAUGCAAGUCGAACGGUGAAGAGGAGCUUGCUCCUUGGAUCAGUGGCGAACGGGUGAGUAACACGUGAGUAACCUGCCCCAAACUCUGGGAUAAGCACCGGAAACGGUGUCUAAUACCGGAUACGAGCUUCAGCCGCAUGGCUAGGAGUUGGAAAGAAUUUCGGUUUGGGAUGGACUCGCGGCCUAUCAGCUAGUUGGUGAGGUAAUGGCUCACCAAGGCGACGACGGGUAGCCGGCCUGAGAGGGUGACCGGCCACACUGGGACUGAGACACGGCCCAGACUCCUACGGGAGGCAGCAGUGGGGAAUAUUGCACAAUGGGCGCAAGCCUGAUGCAGCAACGCCGCGUGAGGGACGACGGCCUUCGGGUUGUAAACCUCUUUUAGUAGGGAAGAAGCGAAAGUGACGGUACCUGCAGAAAAAGCACCGGCUAACUACGUGCCAGCAGCCGCGGUAAUACGUAGGGUGCAAGCGUUGUCCGGAAUUAUUGGGCGUAAAGAGCUCGUAGGCGGUUUGUCGCGUCUGCUGUGAAAACCCGAGGCUCAACCUCGGGCCUGCAGUGGGUACGGGCAGACUAGAGUGCGGUAGGGGAGAUUGGAAUUCCUGGUGUAGCGGUGGAAUGCGCAGAUAUCAGGAGGAACACCAAUGGCGAGGGCAGAUCUCUGGGCCGUAACUGACGCUGAGGAGCGAAAGCAUGGGGAGCGAAAC
Molecule: ribosomal RNA, 727 nt
Filed under: uncultured bacterium
Lineage: Bacteria
Description: bacterial SSU rRNA
Rfam family: Bacterial small subunit ribosomal RNA
Source: RNAcentral